UUAAGCGACUAAGCGUACACGGUGGAUGCCCUGGCAGUCAGAGGCGAUGAAGGACGUGCUAAUCUGCGAUAAGCGUCGGUAAGGUGAUAUGAACCGUUAUAACCGGCGAUUUCCGAAUGGGGAAACCCAGUGUGUUUCGACACACUAUCAUUAACUGAAUCCAUAGGUUAAUGAGGCGAACCGGGGGAACUGAAACAUCUAAGUACCCCGAGGAAAAGAAAUCAACCGAGAUUCCCCCAGUAGCGGCGAGCGAACGGGGAGCAGCCCAGAGCCUGAAUCAGUGUGUGUGUUAGUGGAAGCGUCUGGAAAGGCGCGCGAUACAGGGUGACAGCCCCGUACACAAAAAUGCACAUGCUGUGAGCUCGAUGAGUAGGGCGGGACACGUGGUAUCCUGUCUGAAUAUGGGGGGACCAUCCUCCAAGGCUAAAUACUCCUGACUGACCGAUAGUGAACCAGUACCGUGAGGGAAAGGCGAAAAGAACCCCGGCGAGGGGAGUGAAAAAGAACCUGAAACCGUGUACGUACAAGCAGUGGGAGCACGCUUAGGCGUGUGACUGCGUACCUUUUGUAUAAUGGGUCAGCGACUUAUAUUCUGUAGCAAGGUUAACCGAAUAGGGGAGCCGAAGGGAAACCGAGUCUUAACUGGGCGUUAAGUUGCAGGGUAUAGACCCGAAACCCGGUGAUCUAGCCAUGGGCAGGUUGAAGGUUGGGUAACACUAACUGGAGGACCGAACCGACUAAUGUUGAAAAAUUAGCGGAUGACUUGUGGCUGGGGGUGAAAGGCCAAUCAAACCGGGAGAUAGCUGGUUCUCCCCGAAAGCUAUUUAGGUAGCGCCUCGUGAAUUCAUCUCCGGGGGUAGAGCACUGUUUCGGCAAGGGGGUCAUCCCGACUUACCAACCCGAUGCAAACUGCGAAUACCGGAGAAUGUUAUCACGGGAGACACACGGCGGGUGCUAACGUCCGUCGUGAAGAGGGAAACAACCCAGACCGCCAGCUAAGGUCCCAAAGUCAUGGUUAAGUGGGAAACGAUGUGGGAAGGCCCAGACAGCCAGGAUGUUGGCUUAGAAGCAGCCAUCAUUUAAAGAAAGCGUAAUAGCUCACUGGUCGAGUCGGCCUGCGCGGAAGAUGUAACGGGGCUAAACCAUGCACCGAAGCUGCGGCAGCGACGCUGAUGCGUUGUUGGGUAGGGGAGCGUUCUGUAAGCCUGCGAAGGUGUGCUGUGAGGCAUGCUGGAGGUAUCAGAAGUGCGAAUGCUGACAUAAGUAACGAUAAAGCGGGUGAAAAGCCCGCUCGCCGGAAGACCAAGGGUUCCUGUCCAACGUUAAUCGGGGCAGGGUGAGUCGACCCCUAAGGCGAGGCCGAAAGGCGUAGUCGAUGGGAAACAGGUUAAUAUUCCUGUACUUGGUGUUACUGCGAAGGGGGGACGGAGAAGGCUAUGUUGGCCGGGCGACGGUUGUCCCGGUUUAAGCGUGUAGGCUGGUUUUCCAGGCAAAUCCGGAAAAUCAAGGCUGAGGCGUGAUGACGAGGCACUACGGUGCUGAAGCAACAAAUGCCCUGCUUCCAGGAAAAGCCUCUAAGCAUCAGGUAACAUCAAAUCGUACCCCAAACCGACACAGGUGGUCAGGUAGAGAAUACCAAGGCGCUUGAGAGAACUCGGGUGAAGGAACUAGGCAAAAUGGUGCCGUAACUUCGGGAGAAGGCACGCUGAUAUGUAGGUGAGGUCCCUCGCGGAUGGAGCUGAAAUCAGUCGAAGAUACCAGCUGGCUGCAACUGUUUAUUAAAAACACAGCACUGUGCAAACACGAAAGUGGACGUAUACGGUGUGACGCCUGCCCGGUGCCGGAAGGUUAAUUGAUGGGGUCAGCGCAAGCGAAGCUCUUGAUCGAAGCCCCGGUAAACGGCGGCCGUAACUAUAACGGUCCUAAGGUAGCGAAAUUCCUUGUCGGGUAAGUUCCGACCUGCACGAAUGGCGUAAUGAUGGCCAGGCUGUCUCCACCCGAGACUCAGUGAAAUUGAACUCGCUGUGAAGAUGCAGUGUACCCGCGGCAAGACGGAAAGACCCCGUGAACCUUUACUAUAGCUUGACACUGAACAUUGAGCCUUGAUGUGUAGGAUAGGUGGGAGGCUUAGAAGUGUGGACGCCAGUCUGCAUGGAGCCGACCUUGAAAUACCACCCUUUAAUGUUUGAUGUUCUAACGUUGACCCGUAAUCCGGGUUGCGGACAGUGUCUGGUGGGUAGUUUGACUGGGGCGGUCUCCUCCUAAAGAGUAACGGAGGAGCACGAAGGUUGGCUAAUCCUGGUCGGACAUCAGGAGGUUAGUGCAAUGGCAUAAGCCAGCUUGACUGCGAGCGUGACGGCGCGAGCAGGUGCGAAAGCAGGUCAUAGUGAUCCGGUGGUUCUGAAUGGAAGGGCCAUCGCUCAACGGAUAAAAGGUACUCCGGGGAUAACAGGCUGAUACCGCCCAAGAGUUCAUAUCGACGGCGGUGUUUGGCACCUCGAUGUCGGCUCAUCACAUCCUGGGGCUGAAGUAGGUCCCAAGGGUAUGGCUGUUCGCCAUUUAAAGUGGUACGCGAGCUGGGUUUAGAACGUCGUGAGACAGUUCGGUCCCUAUCUGCCGUGGGCGCUGGAGAACUGAGGGGGGCUGCUCCUAGUACGAGAGGACCGGAGUGGACGCAUCACUGGUGUUCGGGUUGUCAUGCCAAUGGCACUGCCCGGUAGCUAAAUGCGGAAGAGAUAAGUGCUGAAAGCAUCUAAGCACGAAACUUGCCCCGAGAUGAGUUCUCCCUGACUCCUUGAGAGUCCUGAAGGAACGUUGAAGACGACGACGUUGAUAGGCCGGGUGUGUAAGCGCAGCGAUGCGUUGAGCUAACCGGUACUAAUGAACCGUGAGGCUUAACCU
This 2901-nucleotide ribosomal RNA is filed under the name Escherichia coli. RNAcentral's name for it is "23S ribosomal RNA". It matches the Rfam family "Bacterial large subunit ribosomal RNA". Lineage: Bacteria; Pseudomonadati; Pseudomonadota; Gammaproteobacteria; Enterobacterales; Enterobacteriaceae. The record is from RNAcentral.